GCUAGUUCAGUUCCCACUGCUGGUCUUAGGAGGUGUUAAGGGGAGGUGCUGAGGAGGAGGUCUGGGAGAAGGUCUGCAGGUAGCCUGAACCGGACCGGUAGCAACUAAAUUGCUGGCUCAAUCCCCGGGCAGAGCUGCUCAAGUCAGGCCAGUGAUGUUUGAUGAUGUUAUUUUUGUUUGCAAAGUUUUAAGCUUGAAUAAAAUAAUGAAUUAAAAAAGCAA
This is a long non-coding RNA of Coregonus clupeaformis (lake whitefish), 222 nucleotides long. RefSeq lists it as uncharacterized. The record is from RefSeq and is a predicted model, not a curated record. NCBI's taxonomy places the organism in Eukaryota, Metazoa, Chordata, Actinopteri, Salmoniformes, Salmonidae. The transcript has 2 exons.